GAUGAACGCUGGCGGCGUGCUUAACACAUGCGAGUCGAACGGUGAAGGCGGAGCUUGCUCUGCUGGAUCAGUGGCGAACGGGUGAGUAACACGUGAGCAAUCUGCCCCUGACUCUGGGAUAAGCGCUGGAAACAGCGUCUAAUACUGGAUACGAGCUGCGAAGGCAUCUUCAGCAGCUGGAAAGAACUUCGGUCAGGGAUGAGCUCGCGGCCUAUCAGCUUGUUGGUGAGGUACCGGCUCACCAAGGCGUCGACGGGUAGCCGGCCUGAGAGGGUGACCGGCCACACUGGGACUGAGACACGGCCCAGACUCCUACGGGAGGCAGCAGUGGGGAAUAUUGCACAAUGGGCGAAAGCCUGAUGCAGCAACGCCGCGUGAGGGACGACGGCCUUCGGGGUGUAAACCUCUUUUAGCAGGGAAGAAGCGAAAGUGACGGUACCUGCAGAAAAAGCGCCGGCUAACUACGUG
This 468-nucleotide ribosomal RNA is filed under the name uncultured bacterium. Its description in RNAcentral is "partial 16S ribosomal RNA". It matches the Rfam family "Bacterial small subunit ribosomal RNA", at positions 28 to 507 of the family's 1533-position model. The record is from RNAcentral.